AACGGCCGUACCAUGCUGAAUAUACCGGUUCUCGUUAGAUCACCGAAGUUAAGCAUCAUUGGGCGCGGUCAGUACUUGGGAGGGUGACCACCUGGGAACAACA
This 103-nucleotide ribosomal RNA is filed under the name Caerostris darwini. Lineage: Eukaryota; Metazoa; Arthropoda; Arachnida; Araneae; Araneidae. The record is from RNAcentral.